RNAcentral lists this ribosomal RNA (478 nucleotides) under uncultured bacterium. RNAcentral describes it as "partial 16S ribosomal RNA". It matches the Rfam family "Bacterial small subunit ribosomal RNA", at positions 28 to 523 of the family's 1533-position model. The record is from RNAcentral.
GACGAACGCCGGCGGCGUGCUUAACACAUGCAAGUCGAGCGAUGAAGUUCCUUCGGGAAUGGAUUAGCGGCGGACGGGUGAGUAACACGUGGGUAACCUGCCUCAUAGAGGGGAAUAGCCUUUCGAAAGGAAGAUUAAUACCGCAUAAGAUUGUAGUAUCGCAUGAUACAGCAAUUAAAGGAGUAAUCCGCUAUGAGAUGGACCCGCGUCGCAUUAGCUAGUUGGUGAGGUAACGGCUCACCAAGGUGACGAUGCGUAGCCGACCUGAGAGGGUGAUCGGCCACAUUGGGUCUGAGACACGGCCCAGACUCCUACGGGAGGCAGCAGUGGGGAAUACUGCACAAUGGGGGAAACCCUGAUGCAGCAACGCCGCGUGAGUGAUGACGGUCUUCGGAUUGUAAAACUCUGUCUUCAGGGACGAUAAUGACGGUACCUGAGGAGGAAGCCACGGCUAACUACGUGCCAGCAGCCGCGGUAA